Molecule: ribosomal RNA, 1175 nt
Filed under: marine metagenome
Description: bacterial SSU rRNA
Rfam family: Bacterial small subunit ribosomal RNA
Source: RNAcentral
GCCCAGACUCCUACGGGAGGCAGCAGUGGGGAAUUUUCCGCAAUGGGCGAAAGCCUGACGGAGCAACGCCGCGUGAGGGAUGAAGGCCUCUGGGCUGUAAACCUCUUUUAUCAAGGAAGAAGAUCUGACGGUACUUGAUGAAUAAGCCACGGCUAAUUCCGUGCCAGCAGCCGCGGUAAUACGGGAGUGGCAAGCGUUAUCCGGAAUUAUUGGGCGUAAAGCGUCCGCAGGCGGCCCUUCAAGUCUGCUGUUAAAAAGUGGAGCUUAACUCCAUCAUGGCAGUGGAAACUGUUGGGCUUGAGUGUGGUAGGGGCAGAGGGAAUUCCCGGUGUAGCGGUGAAAUGCGUAGAUAUCGGGAAGAACACCAGUGGCGAAGGCGCUCUGCUGGGCCAUCACUGACGCUCAUGGACGAAAGCCAGGGGAGCGAAAGGGAUUAGAUACCCCUGUAGUCCUGGCCGUAAACGAUGAACACUAGGUGUCGGGGGAAUCGACCCCCUCGGUGUCGUAGCCAACGCGUUAAGUGUUCCGCCUGGGGAGUACGCACGCAAGUGUGAAACUCAAAGGAAUUGACGGGGGCCCGCACAAGCGGUGGAGUAUGUGGUUUAAUUCGAUGCAACGCGAAGAACCUUACCAGGGUUUGACAUCCUGCGAAUCUCUUGGAAACGAGAGAGUGCCUUCGGGAACGCAGUGACAGGUGGUGCAUGGCUGUCGUCAGCUCGUGUCGUGAGAUGUUGGGUUAAGUCCCGCAACGAGCGCAACCCACGUCUUUAGUUGCCAGCAUUUAGUUGGGCACUCUAGAGAGACCGCCGGUGAUAAACCGGAGGAAGGUGUGGAUGACGUCAAGUCAUCAUGCCCCUUACAUCCUGGGCUACACACGUACUACAAUGCUACGGACAAAGGGCAGCAAGUUCGCGAGGACAAGCAAAUCCCAUAAACCGUGGCUCAGUUCAGAUCGUAGGCUGCAACUCGCCUACGUGAAGGAGGAAUCGCUAGUAAUCGCAGGUCAGCAUACUGCGGUGAAUACGUUCCCGGGCCUUGUACACACCGCCCGUCACACCAUGGAAGUUGGCCACGCCCGAAGCCGUUACUCCAACCCUCGGGAGGAGGACGUCGAAGGUGGGGCUGAUGACUGGGGUGAAGUCGUAACAAGGUAUCCGUACCGGAAGGUGCGGAUG